ACUCCUACGGGAGGCAGCAGUGGGGAAUUUGGACAAUGGGCGCAAGCCUGAUCCAGCCAUGCCGCGUGAGUGAAGAAGGCCUUGGUUGUAAAGCUCUUUCAGACGGAAAGAAAUCUCUCAGGAUAAUACCUUGGGAGGAUGACGGUACCGUAAGAAGAAGCACCGGCUAACUACGUGCCAGCAGCCGCGGUAAUACGUAGGGUGCGAGCGUUAAUCGGAAUUACUGGGCGUAAAGCGUGCGCAGGCGGUAAUGUAAGACAGAUGUGAAAUCCCCGGGCUCAACCUGGGAACUGCGUUUGUGACUGCAUCACUCGAGUACGGCAGAGGAGGUGGAAUUCCGCGUGUAGCAGUGAAAUGCGUAGAUAUGCGGAGGAACACCGAUGGCGAAGGCAGCCUCCUGGGCCAGUACUGACGCUCAUGCACGAAAGCGUGGGAGCAAACAGGAUUAGAUACCCCUGGUAGACUGUCA
Molecule: ribosomal RNA, 469 nt
Filed under: uncultured bacterium
Lineage: Bacteria
Description: bacterial SSU rRNA
Rfam family: Bacterial small subunit ribosomal RNA
Source: RNAcentral